UACGUAGGUGGCAAGCGUUGUCCGGAAUGACUGGGUGUAAAGGGAGCGUAGACGGUAAAGCAAGUCUGGAGUGAAAGGCUGGGGCCCAACCCCGGGAGUGCAUUGGAAACUGCCAGGCUGGAGUGUCGGAGGGGUAAGCGGAAUUCCUAGUGUAGCGGUGAAAUGCGUAGAUAUUAGGAGGAACACCAGUGGCGAAGGCGGCUUACUGGACGACUACUGACGCUGAGGCUCGAAAGCGUGGGGAGCAA
Molecule: ribosomal RNA, 248 nt
Filed under: uncultured Roseburia sp.
Lineage: Bacteria; Bacillati; Bacillota; Clostridia; Lachnospirales; Lachnospiraceae
Description: partial 16S ribosomal RNA
Rfam family: Bacterial small subunit ribosomal RNA
Source: RNAcentral